CCAAAACCAUCAUCGACGAUGAAAACUAUCACCAUUGAUUAUCUUCUUCUAUGGUAGUCACUUAGGUCUACUGCUUAUUUUUCUUUGUUCAAAUUUUAAAUCAGCAGCCCAUACCCAGAACCAACAUCGAGCCACCACGUUAACCUCUAUUUUUGGUGUUCGGUGGUCUCGUUAUGAGUUCAGUGAAAGUAUGCUAAGGUUUGAUUUGAAUUUACGAGGACGGGGCUUGGAUCUCAGUUGAACUGAGGGCUUGUGGUGAUGAUGUUCUUUGGGUGUUGUUGAUGGUGGAUGAUCGAAUUUUGCAAUGCCAUAUUCGUAAUCUACCUAGUCUUUCAUCACCAUUAUGCAAAACUUACUUGAGGAAAAUUGACUUUUCCACGUGGCCUACUUAGGCGGGGGGUGUAAGUUAGACUCGAAACUCAUAAUUGCGUUGGUGGAGAGGUGGAGACUAGAGACGCACACAUUCUAUUUUCAUGCUGCGAGUGUACUAUCACUCUAGAGGAUGUGCAAUUACAGUUGGGGUUACCCGUGGACGGAUCGGUAGUUAUCGAGUUUGUUCAAUCUACUAAUUGAGGGAUCGUCUGUUACGAGCUUUUGGGUGUAGUACCGAAGAUGAUUAUCGGAGGUCAAAUUGAAAUGGCCUUAUUACGAAAUAAUUUCAUGGAACUGGCGGAGGAUUCUACUGAAGAGAAAAGAGUACGAUACGCUCAGGUGUACAUCCUUCAUAUUAUCGGGGGUAUUCUGAUACCUGAUAAGUCACGAAACCUUGUACAUUUAAGGUGAUUGCUGAAACUCAUCAGUUUUAAACAGGCUAGCGAAACUUAGUUGGGGGUCCACAGUGUUGCCGACAUUGUAGUAGGAGAUGUGUUAGGCGACGAAAUCAGAAAAAAUCAAAAUUGGUGGUUUCCUUUUACUACUACAAUCAUAGGCUCAGUACUGCCUUCCACUUUUACGUCCUCGAGUGGACUACCCGUAUACAUUUCCACUCGUAACAAGGUGGAACCAUGACCUAAGUCAUUGGGAUUACCUAUUGAGUUUGAAGAUAAACGGCUUCUAUUGGACCAAAUGAUCGAAGUAGAU
Molecule: long non-coding RNA, 1080 nt
Organism: Gossypium raimondii (Peruvian cotton)
Lineage: Eukaryota; Viridiplantae; Streptophyta; Magnoliopsida; Malvales; Malvaceae
Exons: 3
Source: RefSeq, a predicted model, not a curated record